This 301-nucleotide ribosomal RNA is filed under the name uncultured bacterium. RNAcentral describes it as "partial 16S ribosomal RNA". It matches the Rfam family "Bacterial small subunit ribosomal RNA", at positions 509 to 807 of the family's 1533-position model. The record is from RNAcentral.
CAGUAGCCGCGGUAAUACGUAGGUGGCAAGCGUUGUCCGGAAUUAUUGGGCGUAAAGGGCUCGCAGGCGGUUUCUUAAGUCUGAUGUGAAAGCCCCCGGCUCAACCGGGGAGGGUCAUUGGAAACUGGGAAACUUGAGUGCAGAAGAGGAGAGUGGAAUUCCACGUGUAGCGGUGAAAUGCGUAGAGAUGUGGAGAAACACCAGUGGCGAAGGCGACUCUCUGGUCUGUAACUGACGCUGAGGAGCGAAAGCGUGGGGAGCGAACAGGAUUAGAUACCCCAGUAGUCCCUGUCUCUUAUAC